UGCCCAACUUAAUCCAUUUUAGCAUCACAGCACCCCUUAAAUCGACGAGCAAUUGCAUAGUUUUAGCACGUUGCUAUUCUUAUAAUAUUCACCUUAAUGGUUAAUUUGCUAGCCGUCUCACAAAGAUUUAUCUUCAUAGAACAGAUCUUAAGUGUUUGCCUGAUGUCCAGCCGCAGCAACUCUCUUUAAGCCCCCCCUCCAAUCCAGAUGCAGCCCCCCCAAUAUAUGACAGAGUGGGAGAGCAAACCAGGACCAAGCUGGCAGAUGCAACACUUACUUCUCGCAUAUCUAUUCAGAAGUUUUGUUGCGUCUCUCCCAGUUUAGUAAUUUCAAGCGCGGUCUUGUGUUGGAGACUGGUUUCGGAGGGUUAAUGCAUCUAAAAAUAGCUCACAAGCUUAACUUGAUAUUCAGUGCAUCCUUGAUGGUCAGAGUAAAUCCAGAUGAAUGCAUUUUAGCAUUGGACCAAACAAGGAAAAUACCAAUUACAGACCAGGAAGUAAACGAUGCAUUUGGUCUGCCACAAGGAAGCAGGACCAUUCCUCCAGGCCACUCAGAUUUAUCUGUAGUUUGUAUAGAGUUCAGCAGGUUGGCAUCAUCCAUGAGUACCGAAGGCGUACAUAGUUUGAAGGCUGCUGAAUUUAUCUUAUCUAAGGCAGUAGAUGAGAAUUCAAGCAAAGUGGAGUGUGAAUGCUUCAAGAUAGCUUUUGUAAUUUUCUCGUUUGGUCAUGUUCUGAACCCGUGCGCCAAGCACGACUACACUAGUGUUGAUUACUGGGCAGCACUGGUUAUGCCGUCGGAGAUAAAUUACUACGACUGGUGUAGGCUUGUCAAAUACAGUUUGAUGAAAGGGGUUAGGAAAAUGAAGAUUGACAUUCACAAUGGGAACACAACAAUCCACAUUAUUGGUUGUCACCUUCUCCUCCAGGUAUAUUGCACAACAAGAUAAAAAUUGUGUUACUAUUGCAAGGGAAUAUUAUACGUGACCAGAUCAUCAGCAAAAAGGCAACAAGCUAUGAAUGCAUGACCCUUAUUCUUCGCCGCUUAGCACAAAUCGAGCAGAAAAAUUCAACAAAUGGAGAUGGUGCAAUUUGGCGAAAGUUCAUGGAACCAGACUUUACGGUACAUCCCUAUUUUUUGUAAUUUUUUGCGCAUUCUCCGCUGAUCUAAUGUACGACAAGUUUUGAUAUGAAUACCCAUCUUUGGAGACACUUGUCAUCUGCAACAUAGACCCAUUGUUUGCCGUUUCAGUCCAAACCGAACUCUUAAUGGAGAAACACAUCGACCAAUGCUGAAUGAUAUUUUGAAGAAAAGGAUUGUCGUUCUCGACCCCCAAGCAGGCCCAUUUGGAUUUAUGACCGAUCGAGUCAAAUUCCAUGAACAAGUCAAUCAUGCCAUCUACUGGAUGGAGAAGAGAGUUCCCUACAUUGAUGAUUGAAAAAAUCCCAAGUGAGCAGUUCGGCAUCUAUUCGUUGUUCAUGGCAAGGCACUACGACGGCGAGUCACUACGGUCCCCGUCCACGAAGGAAAUCGGUACCAAACGAAAUCCAAACACGAUGAAACUUUAUGAUGAUUUUCUAUAGACCAAAAGGGACCCUAGAACAUUCAGGAGGAGGCCAAAAGAUCUAUGGGAGAGCCACCUGAAACAUUUUUUUUUGUCGCCGCAAGCUUCUGUUCUUUCGCGAUCUCAUCUAGAGGCCUUUUCCGGUACUCUGUUGGAGGGGAAAUCGAUCACGAAGGGAUUCUACAUUCAUCCUUGUUGCCUUCCGAUGAUGCGUGAGUAGUUCACCACAUACCUACGGGUCCAUAGCUAGUACCUAGAUGACUUCUCUCUCUUUGAUUUUCAAUAUGAUGUUCUCCUCGAUCUCCUUGGAGUUCUAUCCAAUGUAAUUCUCUUUUGUGGUGUGUUUGUUGCGAUCCUAUGAAUCAUGGAUUUAUCAGAUUAUUCAUUAAAGU
Molecule: long non-coding RNA, 1953 nt
Organism: Triticum dicoccoides
Lineage: Eukaryota; Viridiplantae; Streptophyta; Magnoliopsida; Poales; Poaceae
Exons: 4
Source: RefSeq, a predicted model, not a curated record